CUUAGUUAUUGUUAAAAAUAAAAAAAUAGAAUAAUAAACAAAAAGAAGACUUAAAAAUAUUGUAGAAGAAAUACAUUUAUACAGAAUAUAUACUUUCACAGUCUAUCGAUCACCCGAAUAAAAAGAUACAAUAUUGAUUCGGAAUGCGUCAAAUUGAAAAUUUGCUCGUUGCUCCAAUCAAUUCUUUAUAGAGAUAGUAAUAGAUUAUAAGGAUAAAAUGAUUUCCUUUUUGGUUCCAAACGACUGAGCAUCAUCAUAGGACGAGUUAAGAGAGCGAGUGAAUAUGUGCCUCUUUUCGCAAAUAAUUUAUAAAUAUAUACUGUUUAUAUACAAUUUUUAUGAUAAAAGACAAAGUAAUUUGUAAAAUUUAUAGGUUAAGACCAAAUGGCCUAACUGUUUUCAACAGUCAUUGCUCAUGUGUGUGAAUGUUCCUCUUGUUUUCGCUUAAAAGUUAUAUAUAUAUCUCAGCGACUGAGCAGUGAUGACGUCAUUUUGCGUUAAAAAAAUCACUUUCUAAAUUUUAAACAGUAAUAUGACUUUUAAUCAGUAAAAAUUUGUAUAUUAUUAUUUAAUGUGCAAAUAUCAUAUACAUAUAUAUUUAUAUGUAUAUAUAUUUGCGUAUUAUUCACUUCUAAAUAUAAAUGGAUUGUAAACAGAAUCCCCCCACUAGACGGCAGAGCUUUCCCAUAACGACAAGAUGGCCGACGUUGAAGUGAAUAAGCCAGCAUCUGCUGAAAACGUUACGUCUACGAAUGAGGAAGCCCCAGAAGCUAAAACUGAAGUCACUUCUCAACCCGAUCCUCCUACUGAGCAUGGAAUCACAGAAAACGUUCAGAAAAUAAUAGAAGGAGAGAAACAAGUAAGUACGGAAGAACUUGCUGCUAAAAAGGCUAAAGUCGAUUUGCAAUCAUUGCCGGCUCGUGCCUACUUAGAUCAAACAGUCGUUCCUAUUUUAUUGCAAGGAAUGUCAGCUCUAGUGAAAGAAAGACCUCCGAAUCCAAUUGAAUUUUUGGCCGCUUUUUUGAUGAAAAACAAAAACCAUCAUGACCAAUAACUUUUUGUGGAAAGAUAAUUUAAUAGUGUAAUAUUGUUUUUUUUUUCCUUUAUUUUUGUAGUUUUUUUGUCAAAAAAAAGAGAUAAAAAAGAACAUACUUCAUAUUAUUCUCUUCGUCUCAUAAGUCAUUCAUAAUUAAAUAUUAAGUGUCUUAAUAUAUGUAUAUACAUUUUGAGAUUUUUUUUCUCGUGUCUUCCUCGUUUGCUUCAACAAUGUAUUAAUGUAUUUAAGACAAGUCAAACAAAGAAUUAAAUUUGUUAAAAACAGAACCAAAGCACACUUUACCACACGAUAAGAGAGAUAUAAAUACUGAAAAAUACUGUAUAACAAUAGAAUUAUAUACAUUUACUAUUUAUAAGAGCGUAGUAUAAUUUCAACAGCAAUAGACACAACAUGUAGAUUAUAUAUCAAGUAUAUAGAACAGGUACGAAAUAUGUACAGUAUGUUCUAUAUGCUGUAUUUGUUAUAUAUAGCAGAUUGGUACAACUUCAUAAUCGAACUUACUUAAUCAAAAAGGAAGACAAAAGUGUAAAAGUUCUCUUUGGAAGAAAAUUAAUCGGCUCUAUCGAUCCGAUAAAGAGAUAGCAGUCCGUCUCUCUCUGUCCCUUUCCUACCUCACCCUUCACCUCACUCUUCCUAUCGAAUCGUUUUUUAUUAUUUUCUAUAAAUAUAUCAUACAUGUUGUUCUUUAAUAAAAAAUGUUUUCAACACAUUCUUGAAUUAUCAAUGAAAACGAAAGUACUAAACAUUAAAA
This 1808-nucleotide unclassified non-coding RNA is filed under the name Dimorphilus gyrociliatus. Its description in RNAcentral is "dgyrCDS9873". The record is from RNAcentral. Lineage: Eukaryota; Metazoa; Annelida; Polychaeta; Dinophilidae.